RNAcentral lists this ribosomal RNA (421 nucleotides) under uncultured bacterium. RNAcentral describes it as "bacterial SSU rRNA". It matches the Rfam family "Bacterial small subunit ribosomal RNA", at positions 355 to 774 of the family's 1533-position model. The record is from RNAcentral.
UAAGGAAUAUUGGUCAAUGGACGCAAGUCUGAACCAGCCAUGCCGCGUGAAGGAUGAAGGUCCUCUGGAUUGUAAACUUCUUUUAUCUGGGACGAAAACGGGAUUUUUAUCUCAAUUGACGGUACCAGAGGAAUUAGCACCGGCUAACUCCGUGCCAGCAGCCGCGGUAAUACGGAGGGUGCGAGCGUUAUCCGGAUUUACUGGGUUUAAAGGGUGCGUAGGUGGGCUUAUAAGUCAGUGGUGAAAUCUCCGAGCUUAACUUGGAAACUGCCGUUGAUACUAUAGGUCUUGAAUUAUCUGGAGGUAAGCGGAAUAUGUCAUGUAGCGGUGAAAUGCUUAGAUAUGACAUAGAACACCUAUUGCGAAGGCAGCUUACUACAUAUAAAUUGACGCUGAGGCACGAAAGCGUGGGGAUCAAACA